UCAGUGGUGAAAUCCCAGAGCUUAACUCUGGAACUGCCAUUGAAACUGCUGGGCUAGAAUCUCAGAGGGGGUAGCGGAAUUCCAAAUGUANGGGUGAAAUCCGUAGAUAUUUGGAGGAACACCGGUGGCGAAGGCGGCUACCUGGAUGAGUAUUGACACUGAGGCUCGAAAGCGUGGGGAUCAAACAGGAUUAGAUACCCUGGUAGUCCACGCUGUAAACGAUGGAUGUUAGUUGUUGGGGGGUUCCCCCUCAGUGACGUAGCUAACGCGUUAAACAUCCCGCCUGGGGAGUACGGCCGCAAGGUUAAAACUCAAAGAAAUUGACGGGGACCCGCACAAGCGGUGGAGCAUGUGGUUUAAUUCGAGGCAACGCGAAGAACCUUACCAGGCCUUGACAUGUCCAGUUUGGAUUCCAGAGAUGGAUUCCUUCACCUAGGGUGGCUGGAACACAGGUGCUGCAUGGCUGUCGUCAGCUCGUGUCGUGAGAUGUUGGGUUAAGUCCCGCAACGAGCGCAACCCUCGUCCUUAGUUGCCAUCAGGUAAUGCUGGGAACUCUAAGGAAACUGCCCGUGAUAAGCGGGAGGAAGGUGGGGACGACGUCAAGUCAUCAUGGCCCUUACGGCCUGGGCUACACACGUGCUACAAUGGCAUCGAACCAAAGGGCAGCUAACCCGCAAGGGUAUGCGAAUCCCUAAACGAUGUCUCAGUUCGGAUUGUCCUCUGCAACUCGAGGGCAUGAAGC
RNAcentral lists this ribosomal RNA (742 nucleotides) under uncultured bacterium. RNAcentral's name for it is "bacterial SSU rRNA". It matches the Rfam family "Bacterial small subunit ribosomal RNA", at positions 588 to 1326 of the family's 1533-position model. The record is from RNAcentral.